Molecule: long non-coding RNA, 658 nt
Organism: Daphnia pulicaria
Lineage: Eukaryota; Metazoa; Arthropoda; Branchiopoda; Diplostraca; Daphniidae
Exons: 2
Source: RefSeq, a predicted model, not a curated record
AUUACUCCAACAAAACGGUCGAAUACUACACCGAAGCGGUUAAGUACUACUCUGCCCCGUUCUACACAACCAUAACUGAGGCGGCCAAGUAUUACGCAGUCCAGACUUACUACACAGAAGCUACUCUUUCGUGCUACGUUGAACAGAAAUACUACACUGAUGCUCCAGUCUACUACACCACGACCUACGCUACACCGCAGCUCCCAAGUACUACAUCGAAGAAGCCGCCUAUUACACAACAACGUAUGCUGCAUAGUUUACUGCACCGAGGCUCCCAAGUACUACAUCACUAAGGCACCGGAAUUCUACACGUCUAUGUAUGCUGCCCCUGCCUACUUCACCGAGGCGCCGCAUUACUACAACACUGAAGCGCUUAAGUACUACACUACAACCUUACGCUGCCCCGAGCUACUACACUUACGUCCCGAAGUAUUACUAUGCGUAAAAGGAGUCGUAAAAAAAAAGAAGUCGUGCCCAAACUGCCUAUCUGUCACCAACUGCGUUCCUCAUCUUGUAACCGAUUCGCCAUUAUGGACAUCUAUGGCGUCGUGCUCCUGUUGGGUGCUGUAUCGUUGAUGGUUGGGUCGACCGCUGGUGUAGCGAUGUCUCCUUGGUAAGGCGGAAACCAAACCGCAACGCCGCCGCCUUCCUACACAAC